GUGGAGACGGGAGCGAUGCCGUGCGGGGCGGCCGGAGGCGGUGGUUAACCGCCGGUUGGCGGGGGAGCGAUUCCCCGCUCUCACCUGUAACACCUCCGGCUCUCCGCGGAGGGCUGCAGGCGCUGGAAGGAGCCGUACGCUCCCCACUGCAACAGCACAGCCCCCCGUGUACAAAACAAGAGGAGCGAAAAGGGGUAAGAACGGAGCCGUUUUCCGGCCCUGGAGCAGCCCCCGGGGUCCCGCCGCCUGCCCGCGUUCCUCAGGCUGCUGUUCCGCCUGCGGUGCUGAAGUGGGUUUGUUUUCCCAGCUGUUCUCCGGCCCCCAGGAUUUUGGAUGAGAUUUGGGACAUGAAGCCCACCAGUUCCAGCGCCAACCCCCUGCCUGGCCAUGCGCAGGGGGGUCCCGGGUUUUUCCCUAUGGAAUGGAGUGCAUGUUUCCCGCAGGAGCUCCCCUAAUUCUGCUCCCGAAACAGGGGGAUCACAGUGGUCAAGUGUAAGGUUGACACUGAUGCCUGUCACGCAUACCAUAAGCCAUAGGAGGGACCAGAGCUGCCCAGAUAGACCACCCGGGCCCAGUGCUGGUAUUGUCGGCAGAUCACCCUUAAAGGAGAAAGAAGCUGGAGCAGGGAUAUAAAGUAGUCUUCUAGGAGUACUGCCAGAACCGAUCUGUUUUUACUCUGCUGCUGCUGCUGUUGCUGUUCUGCUGUGUCAUGGGAAGAGAGUUACCUAGCCCACACCAACCCUCAGAAACAGCAAUGAGCCGCUUGCUGCAGACCCGAGCUGUGUUUCACAGAGCUGAAGGAUGAGUUUUCCUGGUGGAGGAUUUCGACUGGAAGAAGAAGGAUUCACUCCCUUGCUGGGCUCCGACACGGACAUCGCUGUUGGGAGAUUUGCAGGAGGCAGAGUGGCGGCGGCAGCACUGACAGCGCAGCAUCACACAGCUUUAUUUCAUGUUGUCGAGGCAAAAUGCUUUAGGUUACAGCUGAGGAGAAAAGCAAACGAUCCAUUUCUGUAAAUAGGGUUCUUUCUCCCCAAUUUACUUUAAAUUCUUGAAAGGUCUUGUGCUAAGAAAGAGCAGGAAUUCUGCCUCCUCUUAAAAAACAUUGUUAUAAAAUCUUUACAAUCUCCUUCCACCUGAGCCUGUUUCCUUCAAACACUUACUUUCAAAAACAGGAGGUUUAAAGGUGACUCUUCUCUUUUCCUUCCUAAGUUUAUAUUCUUUGGAAAGGCCUGAAGAAGCCAAAGGCUGUGUCUGCCUGUGAAUGAAGAAUUUUUGAGUAAACACCAGCAUUCACAUAUACACACAUGCACAGGAUUUAAAGCAUCCCGUUGAAGUGCACAUAUAGGAAAAUCUUUCAUCAUAUGGUAAGCUUUAAUAUCUGCCUCAAAAUUAAUCCCUGACUGAUGGACUCUGUUGUGGCAGAUCACAGGAGGUUCAGUACUGAGGUACCUCUGCAGGGCUUUAAAACAGCCAAAUAAAAUCCCCCCAUUUGCUUUUGGGUUAAUUUGUGGUUUAACAGCAGCUACCUGGGAAAUGCUCAUCUCGUGAAAGCAAGUGAGAAAACUUUAUAAGGCUCCAGUCCUAUUUCUUCCACAACGAAAUAAAGAUUUUUCUUGUGGGGUCAGGACAAGAUCUGAUGCUAUUCCAUGAGGAAAUGGUUAAAGCACCCUGCAGAGUUCUUCAGUUCCUCUGUUAGAGGUAACACCCCUGGGCUUUAUUAGAACUCGAGCUUCGGACAUGCUUCUGGUUACUUCUCAGCAUUGUCUUUGCUUCAUUUUGGUUAGUUUUUGUCACUGAAACCAAAUCUUCUCGUUUCACUUCUCUUUCUAAUUCAUUUCACUCUUUAGUUCCCACAUGUUAGAAAGUGCAGUUUCAUUUCGACUCUUGACAGCUGAAAGCCCCAUUCCAGAAAGCAAUUUGCAGCAAUGUAUUUGCUUUGCCACUCACUGCUCAAACAGAUCUAAGCAUAAACAAUGCUGACAGCCCCUCAAAACCAAACCCAAAUUGUGAAAUUGGGGCAAAUAGCCCAGAGAACCUGAAAUGUUUUGGGUUUAAAACACUGCCUGCUGUCAAAAAAGAGGGUAAAAUAAAGCUUUGUUUACGUGUAGAGCUCAGUGUUUGUUGAUCAAGUUUCUAAGGUGAUGCAGCAGGAAGUACUGAUCUUAGGCAAAAUGACAUGAACAAAGCAUGAAACUAUAAUUCAGCAGCUAUUUGUCAACUAAUAACAGGAAAAUAAAGGGUAUUUUAAAAGCA
This is a long non-coding RNA of Neopsephotus bourkii (Bourke's parrot), 2253 nucleotides long. RefSeq lists it as uncharacterized. The transcript is spliced from 3 exons. Lineage: Eukaryota; Metazoa; Chordata; Aves; Psittaciformes; Psittacidae. The record is from RefSeq and is a predicted model, not a curated record.